RNAcentral lists this long non-coding RNA (1143 nucleotides) under Nicotiana benthamiana. Its description in RNAcentral is "long non-coding RNA (NBEN_LNC009474)". Lineage: Eukaryota; Viridiplantae; Streptophyta; Magnoliopsida; Solanales; Solanaceae. The record is from RNAcentral.
CCAAGUCAAUAUUUCCUGAAUCCCUUAUUUCUACACAAAACGGGAAAUAAACACCUAAAACAACCAUACCACUAGCUAACCAUACUAUCAGUUAUACAUACUAAAAAUAGUAGUUCGAGUGUCCAUAUAUUACAAGAUAAAUCAGUCCCCAAUGUUCAGUUAUUAUAAAUGAAACAAUCCAAAUGUCCAAUUACAACAAAGGUGACUAUCUAAUUAUUAGGCAUAUUAAAACUAGAGAAGGAGAAAACAUGGUGAGGAUUUAAAAACAAAAUAUUAAACUCAAAUCUUCAUACUUAGGAAUGCAUUCUACUUGCUUCAUACAUCAAUGAACAUCGAAUGUACCCGUAAUUCAGUAGAGAAUAGAAGCAUAUGAGUAAAUACAAUUAUUCAUCCAAGCAAAACAGCAACCAAUCAAUUAGUACACCCAGGAUUUCAGCAGAUUUUGAGAAAAUUAAGAUCUCAAAGGACUAAGAACAGCACUGAUCGUUUUUCACAGUUAUAGGAAGAACCAAUAUGUAUUUUUUCUCUCUAGAAUUCAAAAGAAAGGUUCCAGAUCCUUCAAAAAUGUUAAGAUGGUUUCUUUUAUAGUGGAGUCUUAAGGCACCAUUUUUCCUUUGUUUUUUCCUUUUAGUCCUUGAGUUAGUUUUCAUCUUUUCUUCAAUGAUCCCUCAUUUCCUGACUUGUGCCUCAAGUUUGAGGCAGAAAUUGUGUUUUAAUCCCUCACUAGAAUGUUCUAGGGGGUUAUCACCAGGUUCCUUUAAGGUUCAAAUUCCCCUUAUACUCCUAUUUCUAUUCUGAAGUUUUAACCUUAGUUAUUCACUGAUCCUGGUCGAUUGUAUUUGGGUUAUGGGCUGAAGUCUAGUUGGAAUUGACAGGUCCAUUGGAUCCAUACAACUAAAUGUCCUAAUAUGGAUUGGUUUAUCAAUUAUUAUAACUUAGGAUCACAAACAUUCAAGUACCUUUGUAUUAAAACCAAUGGAUCAAUAUCAACCGGGAAAGAAGACCAAUCAGCUAAUAAAAAAACCUAAUUAAAUCACUCAAUAAGAACUCGAAAGUGAGAAAUGAGUAACAGGGAUUGAAAACUUAGUUCAUGAACAAAAUCAGGAAACCAUUAAAGGUUCAGCAAGAAAGAAUAGCCUAACA